UCCUACGGGAGGCAGCAGUGGGGAAUUUUGCGCAAUGGGGGAAACCCUGACGCAGCAACGCCGCGUGAGUGAUGAAGGUUUUCGGAUCGUAAAGCUCUGUCGGGCGGAAAGAAAUGCAUGGAGAUCAAUACCCUCCAUGCUUGACGGUACCGCCAGAGGAAGCACCGGCUAACUCCGUGCCAGCAG
Molecule: ribosomal RNA, 186 nt
Filed under: uncultured Syntrophus sp.
Lineage: Bacteria; Pseudomonadati; Thermodesulfobacteriota; Syntrophia; Syntrophales; Syntrophaceae
Description: partial 16S ribosomal RNA
Rfam family: Bacterial small subunit ribosomal RNA
Source: RNAcentral